Molecule: ribosomal RNA, 791 nt
Filed under: uncultured archaeon
Lineage: Archaea
Description: bacterial SSU rRNA
Rfam family: Archaeal small subunit ribosomal RNA
Source: RNAcentral
ACUGCUCAGUAACACGUAGUCAACAUGCCCAGAGGACGUGGAUAACCUCGGGAAACUGAGGAUAAACCGCGAUAGGCCAAGAUUCCUGGAAUGGUUCAUGGCCGAAAUCUAUAUGGCCUUUGGAUUGGACUGCGGCCGAUCAGGCUGUUGGUGAGGUAAUGGCCCACCAAACCUGUUACCGGUACGGGCUCUGAGAGGAGGAGCCCGGAGAUGGGCACUGAGACAAGGGCCCAGGCCCUAUGGGGCGCAGCAGGCGCGAAACCUCUGCAAUAGGCGAAAGCUUGACAGGGUUACUCUGAGUGAUUUCCGCUAAGGAGAUCUUUUGACACCUCUAAAAAUGGUGUAGAAUAAGGGGUGGGCAAGUCUGGUGUCAGCCGCCGCGGUAAUACCAGCACCCCGAGUGGUCGGGACGAUUAUUGGGCCUAAAGCAUCCGUAGCCGGUCCUACAAGUCUUCCGUUAAAUCCACCUGCUCAACAGAUGGGCUGCGGAAGAUACUAUAGAGCUAGGAGGCGGGAGAGGCAAGCGGUACUCAGUGGGUAGGGGUAAAAUCCUCUGAUCCAUUGAAGACCACCAGUGGCGAAGGCGGCUUGCCAGAACGCGCUCGACGGUGAGGGAUGAAAGCUGGGGGAGCAAACCGGAUUAGAUACCCGGGUAGUCCCAGCUGUAAACGAUGCAGACUCGGUGAUGGGUUGGCCUUGUGCCAACCCAGUGCCGCAGGGAAGCCGUUAAGUCUGCCGCCUGGGGAGUACGGUCGCAAGACUGAAACUUAAAGGAAUUGGCGGGGGAGCAC